UACGGAGGGUGCAAGCGUUAUCCGGAUUCACUGGGUUUAAAGGGUGCGUAGGCGGGUUUGUAAGUCAGUGGUGAAAUCCUGGAGCUUAACUCCAGAACUGCCAUUGAUACUAUAAGUCUUGAAUAUUGCGGAGGUAAGCGGAAUAUGUCAUGUAGCGGUGAAAUGCUUAGAUAUGACAUAGAACACCCAUUGCGAAGGCAGCUUACUACACAUAUAUUGACGCUGAGGCACGAAAGCGUGGGGAUCAAACAGGAUUAGAUACCCUGGUAGUCCACGCCCUAAACUAUGGAUACUCGACAUACGCGAUACACUGUGUGUGUCUGAGCGAAAGCAUUAAGUAUCCCACCUGGGAAGUACGACCGCAAGGUUGAA
This 372-nucleotide ribosomal RNA is filed under the name uncultured bacterium. RNAcentral's name for it is "bacterial SSU rRNA". It matches the Rfam family "Bacterial small subunit ribosomal RNA", at positions 524 to 898 of the family's 1533-position model. The record is from RNAcentral.